RNAcentral lists this ribosomal RNA (426 nucleotides) under uncultured prokaryote. Its description in RNAcentral is "bacterial SSU rRNA". It matches the Rfam family "Bacterial small subunit ribosomal RNA", at positions 355 to 774 of the family's 1533-position model. The record is from RNAcentral.
UGGGGAAUAUUGGGCAAUGGGCGAAAGCCUGACGCAGCAACGCCGCGUGAGCGAAGACGGCCUUCGGGUUGUAAAGCUCUGUCAGGAGGGACGAAGCCACUCAGGUGAAUAGCCGAGAGGGUGACGGUACCUCCAGAGGAAGCCCCGGCUAACUACGGGCCAGCAGCCGCGGUAAUACGUAGGGGGCGAGCGGUGUCCGGAAUCAUUGGGCGUAAAGCGCGUGUAGGCGGCCAUCCAAGUCCGAUGUGAAAGCUCGGGGCUCAACCCCGAGUCUGCAUUGGAAACUGAAUGGCUUGAGUCCGGAAGAGGAGACUGGAAUUCCUGGUGUAGCGGUGAAAUGCGCAGAUAUCAGGAAGAACACCGGUGGCGAAGGCGGGUCUCUGGGACGGUACUGACGCUGAGACACGAAAGCGUGGGGAGCAAACA